RNAcentral lists this transfer RNA (71 nucleotides) under Candidatus Peribacteria bacterium. RNAcentral describes it as "tRNA-Gln". It matches the Rfam family "tRNA". From Rfam's summary of the family: Transfer RNA (tRNA) molecules are approximately 80 nucleotides in length. Their secondary structure includes four short double-helical elements and three loops (D, anti-codon, and T loops). Further hydrogen bonds mediate the characteristic L-shaped molecular structure. tRNAs have two regions of fundamental functional importance: the anti-codon, which is responsible for specific mRNA codon recognition, and the 3' end, to which the tRNAs corresponding amino acid is attached (by aminoacyl-tRNA synthetases). tRNAs cope with the degeneracy of the genetic code in two manners: having more than one tRNA (with a specific anti-codon) for a particular amino acid; and 'wobble' base-pairing, i.e. permitting non-standard base-pairing at the 3rd anti-codon position. The record is from RNAcentral. Lineage: Bacteria; Candidatus Peregrinibacteriota; Candidatus Peribacteria.
UGGGGAAUCGUCUAAUGGUAGGACACCGGACUUUGACUCCGUAUGUCCAGGUUCGAAUCCUGGUUCCCCAA